RNAcentral lists this ribosomal RNA (301 nucleotides) under uncultured bacterium. RNAcentral describes it as "partial 16S ribosomal RNA". It matches the Rfam family "Bacterial small subunit ribosomal RNA", at positions 509 to 807 of the family's 1533-position model. The record is from RNAcentral.
CAGUCGCCACGGGAACACGGAGGGUGCAAGCGUUAAUCGGAAUUACUGGGCGUAAAGCGCACGCAGGCGGUUUGUUAAGUCAGAUGUGAAAUCCCCGAGCUUAACUUGGGAACUGCAUUUGAAACUGGCAAGCUAGAGUCUUGUAGAGGGGGGUAGAAUUCCAGGUGUAGCGGUGAAAUGCGUAGAGAUCUGGAGGAAUACCGGUGGCGAAGGCGGCCCCCUGGACAAAGACUGACGCUCAGGUGCGAAAGCGUGGGGAGCAAACAGGAUUAGAUACCCCAGUAGUCCCUGUCUCUUAUAC